RNAcentral lists this ribosomal RNA (566 nucleotides) under uncultured bacterium. RNAcentral's name for it is "partial 16S ribosomal RNA". It matches the Rfam family "Bacterial small subunit ribosomal RNA", at positions 355 to 912 of the family's 1533-position model. The record is from RNAcentral.
UGGGGAAUUUUGGACAAUGGGCGAAAGCCUGAUCCAGCAAUGCCGCGUGUGUGAAGAAGGCCUUCGGGUUGUAAAGCACUUUUGUCCGGAAAGAAAUCCUUGGCUCUAAUACAGUCGGGGGAUGACGGUACCGGAAGAAUAAGCACCGGCUAACUACGUGCCAGCAGCCGCGGUAAUACGUAGGGUGCAAGCGUUAAUCGGAAUUACUGGGCGUAAAGCGUGCGCAGGCGGUUUGCAAGACCGAUNUGAAAUCCCCGGGCUCAACCUGGGGAACUGCAUUGGUGACUGGCAGGCUAGAGUAUGGCAGAGGGGGGUAGAAUUCCACGUGUAGCAGUGAAAUGCGUAGAGAUGUGGAGGAAUACCGAUGGCGAAGGCAGCCCCCUGGGCCAAAUACUGACGCUCAUGCACGAAAGCGUGGGGAGCAAACAGGAUUNGAUACCCUGGUAGUCCACGCCCUAAACGAUGUCAACUAGUUGUUGGGGAUUCAUUUCCUUAGUAACGUAGCUAACGCGUGAAGUUGACCGCCUGGGGGAGUACGGUCGCAAGAUUAAAACUCAAAUGAAUUG